GUCUACGGCCAUACCACCCUGAACGCACCUGAUCUCGUCCAGUCCGGAAAGCUACGCGGGGUUGGGCCUGGUUAGUACUUGGACGGGAGAGUACCGUAGAGGUUACUGGAGGCU
Molecule: ribosomal RNA, 114 nt
Filed under: Microcebus murinus (gray mouse lemur)
Lineage: Eukaryota; Metazoa; Chordata; Mammalia; Primates; Cheirogaleidae
Source: RNAcentral